RNAcentral lists this ribosomal RNA (542 nucleotides) under Lactarius ciliatus. RNAcentral's name for it is "LSU rRNA". It matches the Rfam family "Eukaryotic large subunit ribosomal RNA", at positions 85 to 642 of the family's 3401-position model. The record is from RNAcentral. Lineage: Eukaryota; Fungi; Basidiomycota; Agaricomycetes; Russulales; Russulaceae.
AACUGCGAGUGAAGCGGGAAAAGCUCAAAUUUAAAAUCUGGUGGUCUUUGGCCAUCCGAGUUGUAAUUUAGAGAAGCGUCUUCCGCGCCGGACCAUGCACAAGUCUCCUGGAAUGGAGCGUCAUAGAGGGUGAGAAUCCCGUCUUUGGCAUGGAUGCCCGGUGCUUCUGUGAUGCGCUCUCAAAGAGUCGAGUUGUUUGGGAAUGCAGCUCAAAAUGGGUGGUGAACUCCAUCUAAAGCUAAAUAUUGGCGAGAGACCGAUAGCGAACAAGUACCGUGAGGGAAAGAUGAAAAGCACUUUGGAAAGAGAGUGAAACAGUACGUGAAAUUGUUGAAAGGGAAACGCUUGAAGUCAGUCGCGUCGACCGAGACUCAGCCUUGCCUUGGCUUGGUGUACUUCUCGGCCCGACGGGUCAGCGUCAAUUUUGCCCCUCGGAUAAUGGCAAGGGAAAGGUGGCACCUUCACGGGUGUGUUAUAGUCUCCUGUCGCAUGCGAGGGCUGGGAUUGAGGAACUCAGCGCGCACCUUGGUGUCGGGGCUUCU